AGCAACUCUUUCGGGUCCCCUUCCGCUGUGUGGAAGGUUUGUCCUUUUGCUCUUCACACUAAGUCUUGCUGCUGCUCACUCUUUGGGUCCGCGCGGCCUUUGUGAGCUGUAACACUCACCGCAAAGGUCUGCAGCUUCACUCUUGAAGCCAGCACGAAGGUGUGCAGCUUCACUCCUGAAGCCAGCGAGAGACCACGAACCCCCCGGGAGGGAAGAACAACUCUGGCGGAGAGGAACAAACAUCUCCAGAAGCGCCUCAUUUAAGAACUGUAACACUCACUACGAAGGUCUGUAGCUUCACUCCUGAAGCCAGCGAGACGACGAACCCACCAGAAGAAAGAAACUCUGGACACACCAUCUUUAAGAACUGUAAUACUCACCGUGAGGGUCUGCGGCUUCAUUCUUGAAGUCAGUGAGACCAAGAACCCACCAAUUCUGGACACAAUUGGAUACUAUAAGCAAUAAAGCUUGGCCUUCAGAAAUUCCCAGUCUUGCAAAGGCAAGAGGGAAACACAGCAAGGAGAAAGGGUGUCUGCUGAAUAUCUGCCAAGAGGAAGUUUGGGGAGAUACCACAUACAUAGUAAUUCCA
This 589-nucleotide long non-coding RNA is filed under the name Pongo abelii (Sumatran orangutan). Its description in RNAcentral is "lincRNA". The record is from RNAcentral. Lineage: Eukaryota; Metazoa; Chordata; Mammalia; Primates; Hominidae.